Molecule: ribosomal RNA, 253 nt
Filed under: uncultured bacterium
Lineage: Bacteria
Description: partial 16S ribosomal RNA
Rfam family: Bacterial small subunit ribosomal RNA
Source: RNAcentral
UACGGAGGGUGCAAGCGUUAUCCGGAUUCACUGGGUUUAAAGGGAGCGUAGGCGGGCAGGUAAGUCAGUGGUGAAAUCUCCGGGCUUAACCCGGAAACUGCCAUUGAUACUAUCUGUCUUGAAUAUCCUGGAGGUAAGCGGAAUAUGUCAUGUAGCGGUGAAAUGCUUAGAUAUGACAUAGAACACCCAUUGCGAAGGUAGCUUACUACGGGAUUAUUGACGCUGAGGCUCGAAAGCGUGGGGAUCAAACAGG